CAACAACAAAUUUCACAUAUGGUUUUAUCUGAUAAAAUGUCUAUUUAUUCUUACUAUAUUUGACCUGAUUAAACUCAUAAGAAACAUCUCAUUUACAGACAAAAACACAUAUAUCCAUUAUUUCUGCAAGUGCUAUAUGUAUCCAGAAACAAAAACGUUUACAAAAAUAAAAUGAGCUUUGUAGGAACAUAACUGCAUGUAUAAACACUAAAGUUUAUUAAAGUUUAGGCCUGUCAUUGCUAAGAAAUGCAAGAGAGUUUCACGUAUUCAGUGUCAUAUAGUAUUAGACACUUCCCCAGAGUAAACCGCCCCCCCCAAUUAAAGAACUUAGAAUCUUACUUUCACAGAGCCUACCACACAUGGGCUUGGUUUAGGCUGGGCAAAGUGUUCUGAGGCCAGCCUCAGAGCUCCAGAGUAGGGUGUAUUUAGAAGAUGUGGGAGGGCUUUCUUCAUGUUUGCUGUCUCUUUGCAGUUUUAGGCGUUGUGCUGUUUUUUCUAGGCACGUUACUACAUGGUUAAACAGUUAUAGCUACUCUUGGAGCGCUAAAAAGAAAACCUCAAAACAAACAGGACAAGAUGAAUCACUACCGUAGUGAGAACAUAACAGUAGUACAAAUGCAAAUAGAAUUCAAUCGAAUAAAGAAAGGGCGUUUGUUGUUUGCUUCAUGUAACCAUGUAGGGACAGGGCUUUUUUCUUUUAGCCUUUUAAAAUGUGCUAUUUCAGGCCAGUUAGGCUGACCCAUGCUCCAUUAUCAGCCACUCAGCACAAAAACCUCAAUAACUUUACCUUUAGGCACCUGUAUUGCCUGUUCCAAUCAUGUUAUUAAUACUAUGAUAUUAUGUUCUGAAAAAACAGAUGCACUGAGUUGUGGAACAAGCAGUGUUUUAUAUUGCCCCUCCCCCUCCCCCUUAUUGCAUCAUUACACAGAACUCUGCUGUUCCAUUGUUUCAAAUGGUUCCAAAACAAAAUAAGGGCUCCAAAGAACUGUACUUGACAGGGAUUGUGUACCUGGAUGAUGAAACAGUAAAUAUGCAACAUAGUAUUCAGCAGUAUUUGAGAAAAGGCCCAAGGUAAUUGUAAUUAUUUUGUCAGUCAUACAAAAAGUGAAUAGCUUAGUGCUUAGUGGCUCAGCAGGUUUAUUUUUGUACUUUCAAAAUUAGUAGGUCUCUACUGUUAAAAAGGGUAAUGUGCAGGGUGCAACAACUGAAACCAAAUAAAGAAGUGGGGAACUGUGCAGUGGUGUGUGUGUGUGUGUGUGUGUGUGUGUGUGUGUGUGUGUGUGUGUGUGUGUGUGUGUGUGUGUGUGUGUGUCAAAAAGCCCUGUUGCAUGGAACAAGUAUUUAUGUGAAUUAAAAGGGUAAUAUUUAAGAGAGUAAGUUCAAGAGACAGCACAGAUAUCUAUGUGCAGGCAAACAGAUAAGAACACUAUAGCAUAGCCAUGUAAGCUAUUUCAGGGUUUUCUAGCGUAUGUGAGCUAAAUUAGUCAUACAUGAGCCUUUUGUCUACACAAUAUGUCGAUUUAAGCUUGGGUGUGACUAAUAAUUAGGCUUUGUAAUGCCUGGAAUGGCUUAAACUGCUAUGCAAGGGGGGGGGGGGGGGGUGUCUUCUUAUUUUUUACCCUGGCUGUGUGUCAAGGCAAAACUGUAUAUUUUCUUAAAGAUAUUAGUACUCACAUUAUUCCUUUUUGUUGAAGGACAGUGCUGCAGUUAUUUCUUCUUUAGGCCAUAUAAAUAACCUAGCUGAAACAUAGUUUGAAAACAGUGGAGAAGGAAAGGAGAGGAUGCACCUUAAAGCCCUUUGUACAUAAUCAUGUACAUCUUUAAACAUUUUCUUUAAAUAUACACUACCAAGUAAGACAACUGACAGGUGUAAUGCACAACAUAUGCAUCACAGUUAAUAGGUGUUUUACAUGAAUGUGUACAUCAAGCAUCAUGGCUCCCUCUAGUGGUCUCGAGGGAGAGUAGAAACUUUAUUAAAUGACAAAAUGAAAACAAUGCAACUAUUUUAUUAUUAUUUCUUUCUUAGCAGACGCUUUUAUUCAGGGCGACUUACAAUUGUUACAGGAUAUCACAUUAUUUUAACAUACAAUUACCCAUUUAUACAGUUGGGUUUUUACUGGAGCAAUCUAGGUAAAGUACCUUGCUCAAGGGUGCAACAGCAGUGUCCCCCACCUGGGAUUGAACCCAUGACCCUCCAGUCAAGAGUCCAGAGCCCUAACCACUACUCCACACUGCUGCCCAAAUUAAAUAUAACAAUAAUGCCAAGACCUUACAUCUUAAGAGAAUUAAUGAGUAAACCAGGAGAUGACUGCCAACCCAAUUAAAACAAAAACCUUCCACUGUUCAUCAAAGGUGACAAAUAUAGAUUUUUAUGGCAUGAAGAAAUUGUAUAAUGUUGUGGGUUAAUUGUAUCAGAAUUGCAUAACCUGUGGCUGGGAAUUGCACAUAAUUCUAUCUAGCAGUAACAAUUGCUCAAUGUUAUUAUAUUUCUUGAACUGUGAAACAAGCACACAAACACAUAACAUAUUUAUUCUGAUCUCUAAGCCAAUCUGGACAGUAAAACUGUUUCUAUAAUUUUAUAUGCGUGACAUAAAGCUCCUGAACCAUACAGAAAUAUAUAGGGCAGCAGUGUGGAGUAGUGGUUAGGGCUCUGGACUCUUGACCGGAGGGUUGUGGGUUCAAUCCCCAGUGGGGAAACUGCUGCUGUACCUUUGAGCAAGGUACUUUACCUAGAUUGCUCCAGUAAAAACCAAACUGUAAAAUGGGUAAUUGUAUGUAAAAAUAAUGUGAUAUCUUGUAACAAUUGUAAGUCGCCCUGGAUAAGGGCGUCUGCUAAGAAAUAAAUAAUAAUAAUAAUAAUAACUGAGCUAGGAAAGAGCAUGUGCUUCUCUAUGGUCCAAAGCAGUUUCACAGGCUCAUCAAAAACACAUAGUCCCCUUAAGUUUAUAGACACUGGAGUCUAUCCCUUUUACAACUGACACAUGAUGAGCAGGAGAAUUGUCCUGUUUCCCAUAUUACACAUGUAUGUAAAAAGAAGUGGCUGCAGAACUGUGCAUGAUUGUGAAAUAUAAAUCUGAUAAGGUGCUAUUGAGGAUAGAGAUGAGGAGGCACUAUUCUGCAAAACCAGCACAGUCCAAGGUGUCAGGAGAUAGUGUGUCUGAAGCCCUUAAAAAUGCCAUUUGAAAGCAUAUUUUACAAUGCCAGUGUCGUCGUCCCUACCCACAUACUAAACAAUGCAGUAACACACUGGUACUGCAAUGGAUUACCACUCUGUACUGCUUCACAGCAUUGCAAGAAAAUAAAAAUAUAUUAAAAAAAUAUUACUCUUGUACCACUGAAGCGAAAUUAAAUAAACCCAAAACAACAACAAAACAUUGCCAUAAGGCUUUUAGAAAUGUGCACCAAAAAUAAAAUAUACCCAUGGGACCUCUCAGAAUGUAGUCCCACUUUACCGCUGAAUUAGACAUUACUUGGUGUGAAUCCCAUUUAUCGACUCAUUUCUGACGUUCAUGGGGUAAUUUGCUUUGAAGUUGAAGUUUACUUUUUUUUGGCUGUGUGUCAGGAAAAAAGCAGUUUAUCACAAUCAAAUAAUCAAUUAUGUGAAUGUGGUAUUUUCGCCUGUAACUAACAAGUGUUGCCUAAAGCUACCAUACUUUUUAAGCCUUUUUGUUUCAAUUACUAAAAUCACUAAACAAAGAUUAACCUAAUUUAGGCUUUCUUCAGUGUGUGGUGACACUCUGUCUUUCUAUUAGGUAAGAUGAUUUAUUAAAUAUAAGAAGCAUUUUAAAAAAAGCAAAGCUGCCAUCUUUUAAUACGUUUUGUGAAUAUUCUGUGCUGCUCAAGUAAAAAUAGAGGGGUAUUUUUUUUAACUAUUCAGUUCUAGAUUGACUUUUUAUGUUUUCUUUUUGUUAAUUCUUUUGCUAACUGCAGUAAGAAAAAUGCUCAGGCUGCUUGGACAUGUUUUAUGUGUGCCUUUGAAUGCCUGUGGGCUUAAACAAUUUGGUUGUUAAUAUAGGAGACUUUGCAUAUAAAUACCAAAGCAAUUAAAGCACUGCUGUAAAGAAAGUCUUGGAUGACAUGGAAAUGUGCAGCUGUGGGAUUCCUUUGUUCCUAUAUGCUCAAAUACUUAAGUAUCUGUUUGUGUGUUGGGGGGUGGGUUGGUGGAAUGGGGGCUGGGUUCAAAGGAUCAAAAUGCAGUUUCAUUCCAUUCUGUUUCCUUUGUUUGAUCAAGUUAAAACACUUUACAAAAAACUUUAGAAGUUCACAGAACAAAAGUAUACAAAAAGUUACUAUGCGCUUCAAGGAAAAAAAAAAAGAAAAGUUUGGGUCAUUCGAUAUGAUACAGGAUUCCCUGAGAUGUCAGAUUCAUUUCCAUGAAUCAUCCCGUCUCCCUCUUCACAAAGCUUUACCACUGGAACUCUUUUGAUUAUCUGUUUGCUAUUUGUGAAACUGUUCAACAUUGUUGUUGGCUUUUAAAACAUGUUUUAUUAGACUGUCAAAUUAAUUUGCUCCUGUUUCAUUUGCAAUGUCCAAUUAUAUUCUCUCUCCGAGGGAAAUCCCCACAAGAGUUCAGGAGAAAUGAAGGUCAGUGGGCGUCCUUGUGGGAUCCCCAGUGAAGACUGGCAAGAUGUGCUCCCCUGACUGUAUCACUCACUGUGCGUCGCAUGGCCUUGCCUUUAUCAGGCAGCUACUGAGGCUCCAUAUGUUGAAAGUGGAAUUAUGACAAGCUUCGCCAGAAUACUGGCAAACUAGCAGAUAACAUCAGAUGGUACAGGCCGCAAGGUUGAAAGGUGAUUUCUAACCUUUGUUAGAACUGGUGAAGAUUUUAAGGAGGGGGCUGGCUCGCACAAUCCUGGUCUUUUCUACUGCAGAGGCUUUUGGAGGAUGCAGCAGAUCUAAGCAAGGGGCUGAGCGACUGGAUUGUAAAUGUGAUGUUUUCCAUCUCUCUCCGACUCCACUGUCUCUUCUAAGGCAUGUACUUUGUGGAACACAAAGUGAGACUGAAAUACUGGCCAAUAGGAAAAACCCACCCAUGAGAUUCCCAGGUGGCUUAACUGGUAAAGGCACGAUCGUGUGAUGUGCAUGGUGAGUCAUGCAGACAGGGGAGCGCAGGUUCGUGUUCUGGCUGUGCCAAGUUGCCUUGGCAUCCCUCACUGCUCUAUAGUGGUCCCUACAAGCCAGGCAAGCAGUGGUAUCCUGAUGUCAAUAAUAAUUUUAAAGCAAUAAUUAUAUUAUACAUGGUAUGAAGCCUAAUACAAUAAACGGUUAUUCCCUUUACUAAUCUUUAAAAUCUUUAACAGCAAGUUUUUAGAUAGUUUCAUAAAUGGAUACACAACUGUGUACCACAGCAGUAAAGUUUUGCUGAAAUGACUAUAAAUAAGUCUCUAGGCUCGUUUUUUCAUCUCAUGCCAAGACAUGUUAAAAGAGGCACUGUAACAGACCGUCAGAACUCAAAAGGUUCAAAACCCACUGGCUGCCUGAACAUAACUAUGUAUUAGUAACUUUGCUUAUUUGACUGAUCUAACACUUCUAAAAGGAUGUUUAUCCUGCAGAGAACACAGGGGAUCAGGUAAGGGUGGUUUACAUGCACCAGUAAGAAACUGAACCGUGUAUAUUUUGGGGAGAAUUGUGUUUGAAAAAGGUUCUUGUUUACUCACUCUGCAAGAAUCCUUUUUGCAAAGGGUGUGCCCUUUUCUGAAGUAAAAGGAACCACAUAGAAAACUUACAAUUGCACUAAUGAAGGAAUUUCCAAAACGUUUGUUUUCUUAUUAUAUCUUUACCUCUGAAUUUAAGAUCUGAAGUUAUGGAUGACCAUCCUUUUUCUCUUUGUCCGUGGGUAGUACACAUGAUUAGAAUUGUGCAUACAAUUGUUUGUACAUUUGUGAGCCUGAAUACAAAGCAGACUGAAACGGCUGCAUGUUAUAAUUACAAGCUGAUUGAGUUCAGGCAAUUCUAGGAGACUUCUUGAGUAAACAUUAGAGUGCAUACAAUACAACCCACCCCACUCUGCGUUGAAACUGGAAUGCCAGCAGCAGCAAAGAAGAGAUGUGGCAUAGGUUCUUAUGAAACACACUGGCACCCAGUAUCAUAAGUGCAGGGUGCUUUCCUUUUGAACACUGUCUUAAUACAAACUCCACCUCCCUGCUACAUACUUUUUCCCUCUUUCUUCAGAAAAGGGAUUAGUCCGCUUCUUAUUGUUCACCCUGAGACAGGAAACAAUGGCCGAAACAUUUGAUCACCUGACCUAGUUGUCCUUUAAUUAAAACAUUAAGGGUCAUUUGCCCUCCAGAUCACCUGGAAAGGACAAAAAGAUAUGCUCUGCACUGUAUUGUACCCGUCAGGUCAGCUGUACUUGUUAAGAAUGCUGUGCCAUACAUAGUUUAAAACGUGUCUUUCAGGAGGUGUAUGUUACAGUACAGAGGACACAAUAUCCUUUUUCUUUCUCUGCUAUGAUAGUGAUAGAGACUAUGAAUGUGAUAAACUGCCAUAGCACAGAAGAAGAGACUAUACUCUGAUAGGACAGUACCACUUUUACUCAAUCAAAUCAUGCAUCAUGCUAUGAGGAAUAACUGAAUUUUAGCUAUGGAUUGUUACAAGUAUAAUGUGAUAGCCCAUUCCCCAAAUCACCCAUACUUUGAGAUGUCUUGCCUGAACCUGCCCCACAUAUUAUGAUUCCACUGAGAGGCUGAAAACCCUGCUGCUGUGAGUCUAUUUGUCUGUCAAACUGUGAAAGUGGUUGGACUCGCCUGAAAUUUAACACCUUUAGCGUCUUUGUCAAUCUGAAACCAAAACCCCAACGUGUUAUGCUCAGCUAAGGCAAUUCAUUGGAGGACCUUUGAGGAACUGAGACACGUGAACUUGAGAAGCAGCUGAGAACGCAGGCUACAUUUCCUGUUUCUUCUAAAAUUCACAUUCACAAAACCUUGUGUUUUGAAAUAAAAUAGCCCUCAUGAAUUAUUGGUACCGUGUACCAUGCUAAAAACACAAAACUUUGUCAACAAUACUAUGAAGUAUAUUAGAAAUCUUAAUCAAACCUUUCUUUACAUCUCUGGACUUUUAUGGAGGAAAUAAUGUGCACAAUAACUGCAAGAAAACAUUCGAUUUCCAGAUUCAAACAUGACUUCAUUUUCCUAUCGCUUGACACAGUUCCUUCACUAACACAAUCAAACUGUUGUUACGAGUCAGUGCAUUAAAAUCUCUAUUUCCAGUUGCAGAUCCCUGCUUGGCCACCCCUUUUACUUUGUGCUGUGAAACUGGGGAUUGCAAAUGUCUUGUGCAACUCUCCCCAGAAGAAUCGGAAAAUUCUCUUUCAGUUACAUUGCUCUCUUAUCAGCUGCAUGAAGUAGAUAACAGAGACUGGAAUGUGGAAGCCUCAGACACUAAACAUUGUUUAUUGACUUUGAUCAAACUUACUUUGAAUGUCUUUCUGACAGUUUAUGGCUCCACAGUAUUCUGAUUGACUGUGGGAGAAGCAUUAAAAAUGCACAGCAUUAUUAAUCAAAGCACCAUUUUCAUCCUUUGACUGAUCCGUUCUGCACCUUUAAAGAUUAGGCUUUUUGGAGACUGGUGUCUAACCCCACCCCCCAACAGAGCUAAUGCAUUGUGGGUGUGAUUCAGUUGUUACUUAAUUUAUGCAGUAGUACUAGAAACCUUUUAAAAAGUAAAUACACAAUCUGCAUGUAUUUUAGGGCUUGCACUUAACACCAGAAGGUAGACUCUGUACUGUACUACACAGCAGGUUGCUGUACUUGACUCUCUGUGCCUUGAGUAUCAGUGAAAUAUAUUAUUCUGCCCAACACUGCUCUGGGAACCUCACAACUGGAUGGACGGAAUUGGAGAGUGUGAUCCUUUAUUCAUCCCCCGAACAAGUAAAGAAUGUGUGCUUCCCCUUACUGCUAACACUGUUUAAAGUAGGCUACAAUAUUUUGGCCAAUCAAAAACACUGCACUGAUUUGUGGUGCUGGGGGUGGGGCAGUCAUCAUUGAAGAAAUCUAUUUUAGGGGUGAAAUGAAGAACAACUGUCCCACCCAGUGGUUCUGAGAAUGCGGUGUAUGGAUGAAAUAUGGGAUACCUCUCUUUGGAUCAGAGAAGCCUUGCAGAGCAGAUUGAAUGAUAAGCAAGCAGCUCUAUUGUAUGAUACUUUGACAGGUCAGUCAAAAUAGAUGACAUAUGCUGAGCAUUUCUUAAUAACACUAACAAUGGUGUUAAAUACUACAUUUGGCGUCUUUUACAGCUUCACAGACAAAUAGCUUCACUAAUUCAGGGUACCCAAACUGAAUCUUUAUGUGUACUGCAUGUUUAGGCAACACACCUCACAACAUGUUAGGGGUAUUAUUAUUCUCUGCAUUGACUAAAGAAGGACUAACAAGAUUGCAUUAUACAGCCCUGUUGGCACAUGUUUUGAUUUAAUGACUCAUUUUUGUCAUUAAUUAGCAAAACAACUCUGGGACAUCUGAGGCGGUAGAACAACCAGUCUGUGAACACAGUCUCACACUUAUUUCAAUACAUUUUAAACACAUUUUCUUUAACUCUUUACACUCUGCCCUAUUCUUUUUGUUUGCUAGCUCAUCGUAGGAACAUUCGAGAUCUACCGAUCUAUUGAAGCUGAGGCUUCAAUCUACUUAUCAAGCCUAGUUGUGACAUCAUAGAUGCCCAAAUAAGGAAAACACAAGCUCUCCGAGAGUUCAGUAGAGCGCGUAAAGAACACAGAUAAUUUGCUGACUGUUGUGAGAACUUGGCUGAGAAACAACCUGUAAAAUCAAAAGCUGGCCCUGCACGCAAGUCUCAGAAGUGCUUUUUGAGGAGUCAGAAAGUGAUAAUUCUGACAGUUUAUUGUCAUCUGACAAAGAGGAGGUGGUCUUUCAGGGGAUUUAUGCGUCACUGGAAUAAGACCCCACGUGAGACCUGCCUCAUGCCUCUGUGAAACUCACAGGCAGUGCGCAAAGAGCUGUCCUACAGAGGAAUGUGCAGACGUCACCGGCUUCAGACUCACCGACACCAGCAUCACAGCAGAGGGUAGAGACAAGGAAGAAAAGAGAGAAGGAAGAAAAUUGUACAGCUCCAACUUAGCGGAGGUUUAUACCUCGUCACACUUGUGGGCCGUAGCUGGAUGCCGUGAAAAGCUACAGCCAUUCAGAUUUAUUUUGUUUGUUUUUUUCAAGACACUGUCCAAAAACUUUGUGACAGUACAAACAAGCAGGGUCAGAAACAGGAAUUCUUUGGAACCUGCACCUCACUGACCCUGAUGAAGAUGAAGAUGAAGAAAAUGAGAGGAAGAGGGAUAACGCCUGACUACAAUGCCCUUUGUAAACUUCAUCUCAAUGGUCUUAUUGUUUCAUGCAAGGCAAUGUAUCACCCAAACCAACAUAUUUCAAUAGAUGAAAGAGUGCUUGCCACAAAAGCCAGAAUUGGAAUGAAACAAUAUUUAUAAAAGGAGAGGUGUCUGGAAGGGCUAGAUUAUGAUGUCAUUAUGUCCUUGAUUGACAGGUCUGAUAAAUCUGAUCAACUCAUUGAGUAUUACAAUGUCUUAAAAAAAAAAAAAGAAUUGUACAAAAAUAGUUUUUUCAUUGAAUUGAUAUUGUAACGGGAAAUAGUUUUAUCCUGCACAAAGAGAUCUGUGAGCAAUUUGGGAACAGACAGAUACCCAAAAGCUGUUUCGGAAGGCUUUGACUUUUGAACUGGCAGGUGAACUGCAUCCCGUUCAAACAACAUCAUUGGUUUCUACCUAUAAUGUGCAACACUUGCCAGAGUCAAUUGCAGAGGUAGAUGAGGCUUCUUCAGAGUAAAAGGCAAUACAAGCGAGACAGCACUGUGCUUACUGCAGUCAAACUGAAGGGAAGCGAGUCAAAAUGUGUAAAAACCUGCAAUUGCCUCUGUGCGUAGUUGUUGACAGGAAUUGUUUUUCUAGAUGGCACAGAAAAUAGUUAUUUGUGUUAUAAGCACUUAUGUAUAUAGUUAUUUAUUUCUUGAUAGUUAUUUUGUUAUUUAUGUUAUAAAAGACACUUUUGGUAAAAAAAAUCUGAAAAUCACUAACAAUGUUCGCACACUCAUAUUUUGGUCAUUUGUUGUGCUGUUGGGCUGAAAUUUUGUAUGGAACAUCCGAACAUAUUGGACUUUCUUUUCAAAUUGUCAGGAGCCUCCGUUAUACAUGUUCUCAUGGUUUCUAACCUAAUAAAGUGUUAAUUUUUGUAAA
Acipenser ruthenus (sterlet) is the source of this 10192-nucleotide long non-coding RNA. RefSeq lists it as uncharacterized. The record is from RefSeq and is a predicted model, not a curated record. The transcript is spliced from 5 exons. NCBI's taxonomy places the organism in Eukaryota, Metazoa, Chordata, Actinopteri, Acipenseriformes, Acipenseridae.